CACUCUGCUCCUGGGAUCAGCCUACAGCACAAACCCCUGGAAAAGGGACAGCUGCAGAACAAAGCUAGGGAGGAACACCAACUUGCCGAAGUAGAGCCCGUCAUCUGCCUGGGAGGAGCAGGCAGCCCAGGGAGCCGGGAGAGCCAUGCCGGACUCCUUCGCCAUCCACUUCCUCAAGGUGCUGCGGGAGCUGCUGGCCUUUGUGCUGUUCAGCUACACGGUGCUGCUCGGGGCGCUGCUGCUGGCUGGCUGGACCACCUACUUCAUGGUGCUGAAAUGAGGGCUCUGCUCCUGCUCCUGCUCCCACAGGCUUUCCAACGCAGCUGCACACACAGGAUGGGAGCCCCUUCCCCCUGCGCCAAACCCGCAGCAGUUCUGUGCUCUGGCUGCCUCGUCGCGGUCUUGUUUUCCUGUGUAAAAACAAUAAAGGUUAAAAGAAAAGCUAUCCCCCAGUAUGCACUUUA
Molecule: long non-coding RNA, 464 nt
Organism: Catharus ustulatus (Swainson's thrush)
Lineage: Eukaryota; Metazoa; Chordata; Aves; Passeriformes; Turdidae
Exons: 2
Source: RefSeq, a predicted model, not a curated record